Columba livia (rock pigeon) is the source of this 955-nucleotide long non-coding RNA. RefSeq lists it as uncharacterized. The record is from RefSeq and is a predicted model, not a curated record. Lineage: Eukaryota; Metazoa; Chordata; Aves; Columbiformes; Columbidae. The transcript is spliced from 2 exons.
AACAGAUCCUCUCUCCUAAAUAGUGUGUAGGAUGAAAGCAAAAUGUUAAAUCAGUAACUAAAUAUUCCAGCUGCAGUGACUAGACUGUUUACUGCACACUUCUGCUGUCACGCUGUUCUUACAGACUGUGAGCCUGCGGUCCGCCGUCCGGGCUGUGUGCGCAUUUGGAGCAAGAUAAAUUAGUGGCUUCAGAGCAUUUAAACAAUCAUGGCAGUGGUUGAAUCAGGACAAAGUUUUGUGUCGUGUCAGAGCAUCCCAGACUGCCAGAAUGGCCGGGGCUGGAAGGGUCCUCGGGGAGAGGGCCGGUCCCUGCUGGCUGCAGCCUGCUGGCUCGGCUCGGCUUUGCAAGGCAGAGCGGAGACCAGCGGCGCGCGUGCUGCGCUCCUGUCGAGUGUGCUCGGCUGUGACACUCCCAGGCUGGCCUGGGGAGCCGGGCGUUCUGACGGUGCGGUGGUCCCAGUUGCACACACGUGCGGGAGGUGUGUGUCACAUCACCGGGGCGGAGGAAUGAAAAUCUUUGAGAGUGGCUCCUCGCAUGCUGUUGGUGGCUCACGGUCCCGCAGACCCAGCUCUGUUGGGGUGUCUGCGGGUUUCCCGCAGCCCGCGGCUCCUGUGCUUGGUGUCCUGGCCGCGUGGUGUCCUGGUGCUCGGCCUGGCUUCCCAGCUGCGACACACAUUGUUGGUUAGCACGUCUCAUUAACUGGAGUACUGCUGGAUGUUCUGGGAGCGCUCUCAGCGCUCGGAGCGGCAGGACGCCGGUGGAGGGGUGGGUGUCACUGUGCCGGGCCGUCGGGACGUGGGUGAAGCGCAGAGUUUGUCUUGGGGCGUUCAGGGGAUAAGUGGCUGUCCCUCUGAGGAGAGGCAGCGUGAUACGAAGUCUGGAAGGCUAAGGUAUUGUAUAUUUCCUUUUCCUCAAACACAAGUAAAAUAAAAAAUACAAAGAGAUAUACGUAAA